This 253-nucleotide ribosomal RNA is filed under the name uncultured bacterium. RNAcentral describes it as "partial 16S ribosomal RNA". It matches the Rfam family "Bacterial small subunit ribosomal RNA", at positions 524 to 776 of the family's 1533-position model. The record is from RNAcentral.
UACGAAGGGGGCUAGCGUUGCUCGGAAUCACUGGGCGUAAAGGGUGCGUAGGCGGGUUAUUAAGUCAGCGGUGAAAUCCUGGAGCUCAACUCCAGAACUGCCUUUGAUACUGAUAGUCUUGAGUAUGGGAGAGGUGAGUGGAACUGCGAGUGUAGAGGUGAAAUUCGUAGAUAUUCGCAAGAACACCAGUGGCGAAGGCGGCUCACUGGCCCAUUACUGACGCUGAGGCACGAAAGCGUGGGGAGCAAACAGG